AAAGUCAUCCCCUGAUUUGUGAAGGUGGAGAAAAGAAAGGAAAGAAAGAAAAACUUUACCAGACAGUAAAACAACUCAUAAACCUGUCAGGAGUAAUUCCAGCAGCUGUGGUGGAAAUGAAAGGCAGUUGCAGACACCUUGGGCCUUUCCGUGGCAGGGUGAGCUCUUGUAAGAUCCUAGACUUUACCUGUGAACGCUGGGACCCAUAACUCAAUUUACAAGUACCUUAACACUGAAAGACUAUUUGCCGAGCUGACACUCUGGAAUUUGUUACCUUCACCAGGAGCUGCACUGACUAAGAAAGGCCACAAGCUGUGACUGGAAUGGUGGAAAGGAACAGAGUUUUUAGACUGCAGAACCUUAACCAACUUAGCCUCAGCUUUGCAGGGCUGUGCUGUGAGAGCAACUUGAACUUGAGAGCGAAAUCCUCUAAUUAAGAGGCAAUUACAAAGAACUUCUGCUUGUCCCAUCCUGAAGACGUUAGAGGCCACACCCCAAGUCCCUUCACUAACAUGAACUCAGUCCUCAACACACUGGCUCUUAAAUGGGUCCUGUGUCUUGUGGAGAGCCAAUGUUCUGACAGACUCC
This 588-nucleotide long non-coding RNA is filed under the name Cricetulus griseus (Chinese hamster). RNAcentral describes it as "lncRNA (ENSCGRG00015041875.1)". The record is from RNAcentral. Lineage: Eukaryota; Metazoa; Chordata; Mammalia; Rodentia; Cricetidae.